RNAcentral lists this microRNA (22 nucleotides) under Spodoptera frugiperda (fall armyworm). RNAcentral describes it as "sfr-miR-10480-5p". Lineage: Eukaryota; Metazoa; Arthropoda; Insecta; Lepidoptera; Noctuidae. The record is from miRBase by way of RNAcentral.
GUUUAGCCGUCACAGUGACAUU